Molecule: long non-coding RNA, 1305 nt
Organism: Astatotilapia calliptera (eastern happy)
Lineage: Eukaryota; Metazoa; Chordata; Actinopteri; Cichliformes; Cichlidae
Source: Ensembl
CUUGAUUUAGGCCUGAAGCAUAACAAAGGGUUUCAUGGUCUCAGAAAGCAAACCCGAUACCUUGUGGUACCACCUCGAGGCAGAGCAACCAUUGCUAAUUCCCUAAACUAAACCACAUUCCCUCUCCUCCUGGGUAGGUAGGUAAGAGAGGUGAGGUGCGGGCUACAACCUGUCAGCAGAGCAGAUCGCCCUCAAGUUGUCCAAAUCACCUCCAGUUUCACUCCUCUGUGCAAAUGCGAGGCAUGUGCAUGCACAGAGGACAUAUCCCAGAAGUGAGAGGGUAUCCUUGCGAAUCUGAACAUGGGGCCCCCUGUGCUCUAGCCUAGGGGUUGGACGGAGGGCGAGCUGUGAGGGCGUCUGCUGUGUUCCGGUGUUCUGGGAAAAGGACAGUGCACACAGCUGCGCUCAGGGGGUAAAUGCAAAACAAACAUGCCUCACACAUGCUUCCCCCUCAGCUGUCAUGGCUCUGCUUUCAAAGAUCUACUCCCCCCUCCCCAAUCACACACAUUGCACUGCGCCUCUCCCUUCGCUCACUCCCACUAUGUCCACCAGCCCCAAGCCGCAGCCCCUCAUCGCAGGGUCUGAGGCACAGCCACACAGGCAACUGAGGAAGGCUUUUUAAUUAACACUGAGCCAUGUGGAGGCUAUGGACUGCAGUAUUGUGUGUCAGGAUGGACAGGACUGUCUGUCUUCUAGUUGGUCUAGCUGGAUGCAGACAUACUGGCAAUGAGACGCUCAGGUUUACCGUUUUCUGUGCAUUCAUGAGAAUCUCCAGUGAGGUCUUUAACAUAUGGAAACCAAAGAUGGACAGUUUUUACCACUUUAAGUAAUUUCCUACACUUACACAAAGCCUGUUAAUGCAAGAUUCAGCUUUAUAUUUAAAAAAAAAAUCUCUCUUGUAUGCUGCACAACUCCAGCCUUGAGUGAUAACGUCCCCCUUUCUCAUUUUUCUAAUACUACUGAAGUCAGGUAAUCAGUAUAGGAGUAAAUAUAUGAUAAAUGCGUGCUGUUGUGUGCAUGUACAGUGUUGUGCGUGCAGCUUGAAGUGUCAUAAGACUCGUAAACAUUUUACUAAUUUGAUGCCGUUUUAUUUUGUGGGACAAUUUAUAAAUAUUUGAGUGUAAAACUUCUCUUAAACUUGGUGAUGAUCUGUUUGUAUUCCUAGUGUUUGUGGACAUUGUUUUCUCAUCAUGUUAUUCUUUAAUUUCCCCCUCCUACCAAGUUUGUGUGGCUUUAAGCUGUCUUUGGAAAUGAGAGUAUGAAUUUACUCAUGCUUGUGUGAUUAAAAUACCAUAAGUUAUUGUA